Molecule: ribosomal RNA, 117 nt
Filed under: Candidatus Zhuqueibacterota bacterium
Lineage: Bacteria; Pseudomonadati
Source: RNAcentral
UCCGGCGGCAAUAGCGGCGGGGAAACACCUCUUCCCAUUCCGAACAGAGAAGUUAAGCUCGCCAGCGCCGAUGGUACUGCCUUGGAGACGAGGUGGGAGAGUAGGACGUUGCCGGGA